CCUACGGGAGGCAGCAGUAGGGAAUCUUCCACAAUGGGCGAAAGCCUGAUGGAGCAACGCCGCGUGGGUGAAGAAGGUCUUCGGAUCGUAAAACCCUGUUGUUAGAGAAGAAAGUGCGUGAGAGUAACUGUUCACGUUUCGACGGUAUCUAACCAGAAAGCCACGGCUAACUACGUGCCAGCAGCCGCGGUAAUACGUAGGUGGCAAGCGUUAUCCGGAUUUAUUGGGCGUAAAGGGAACGCAGGCGGUCUUUUAAGUCUGAUGUGAAAGCCUUCGGCUUAACCGGAGUAGUGCAUUGGAAACGGGGGGACUGGAGUGCAGAAGAGGAGAGUGGAACUCCAUGUGUAGCGGUGAAAUGCGUAGAUAUAUGGAAGAACACCAGGGGCGAAGGCGGCUCUCUGGUCUGUAACUGACGCUGAGGUUCGAAAGCGUGGGUAGCAAACAGGAUUAGAUACCCGAGUAGUC
Molecule: ribosomal RNA, 465 nt
Filed under: uncultured bacterium
Lineage: Bacteria
Description: partial 16S ribosomal RNA
Rfam family: Bacterial small subunit ribosomal RNA
Source: RNAcentral